RNAcentral lists this small RNA (7216 nucleotides) under Drosophila pseudoobscura pseudoobscura. Its description in RNAcentral is "GA31017". Lineage: Eukaryota; Metazoa; Arthropoda; Insecta; Diptera; Drosophilidae. The record is from RNAcentral.
ACCUAAUCCAAGUGUAUCGUAUUGCUUGUGUUUCAUGCUAUAUCGGUAUUAAAGGGUAGUGGAAUACGGCCUUUACCACCACUAGUAUUAAUUAACACUUCGACUAUCGAUUGCCUUCCAUUGUUUAUCGCGCGAAAAAGCCGCCGUUUUCUUAAUUUCCUCGUUUACGACCAAUUUAAUUUCUUUUGUUGUGGCUGCUUAAUGAGCCGCACAAUGGAGUCCGUGAAAAGCCACUCAAAGUGCUCUACGACCCUGCAGGAAGGUGUGAACACGGGGCAGACGGCUGUCAAGUUCAAGUUCGGCUGAGAAUUGUUUUGGGCAGAUUCGUAUCGGGCCACCACCGCCAGCCACAAGGCAGUAGCUUCGCAGCCGCAGCCCGCACCAUCAUCAUCAUCUACUGCUCGUGGAGGUUCUAUGUUGUUUUUAGUUUUCAAUUGCUCGCUUCACGCCAUGCAACGCUAACGGCCUUGCUAAACAAUAGAUUCAGCCGCCAGUCGCUGUCGUCGGUUGCUGCCUUCGCCGUCUGUGCCUCCUGCACUUUUGCCUCCGCCUCCACCUCCGCCUCUGCUACUGCCUGCUACCUGUGUAUCUCUGCCACUAUGCGGCUGCUACUUUUAUCAAUUGACAGGCGUCGGCGGCGUCACAAUAAGCAGCACAUGCACUCAACUGAGGGAACAGCAGCCCCGGCGAUGCAACAAUUAAAGGCGUGCGAGUAAAGAUGUGCGAAACCGAUGUGGGGAUGCUGAUGUAGAUGAUGAUGCGGCUGCUGAACGGCUCCCAUGACAUUGAGCGGCGCGCCGUGUGUGCCAGGCCCCGGGAACGACUACAAUGAGCAAUUUUUCGAAGCCAAGCGGUUGGAUGGAUGGCUGGAUGGAUGGCUCGCUCGCUCGAAUGCUUGUUAACAGCCACAAUGACAACGGCAGACAGAUGACGACGUUGCACGUCAACGCUCAAGUGCAUCCGUUAUAACUGUCAAUGGGCAUUAACUCUUGUGGCGCACUGUGUCGCCGCUCUCUGCUCUGCUGUUGUUUUCGGCAACAGGUCCAGUGGACAAAGAUCUAAUCAAUUUUUGUCUGAACUCGACAGCGGCUGCGACCACCUUGAUGUUCAUGUCCCGAACCCGACAACAGCGACGACGACGACGUCGACGACUUGAGGCCAAUUUACUUUACUUUUCAUUCAUGUUGUACUACGGCGGGUACUACGGCAGUGGGAAUAACCCAGAAGGAAAAGAAUAAGAGAAAAAACUCUGCAGUUGCAGUUGCAGUUGCAGAUUGCAGUUUGCAGUUUGUGGCAAAGCGAAAGACUCUGGCAGCGAACUUGCGGCACUCACUCUUCUGGAAAAGCUCAAGACGAAAUGGAGGGAGAGAUUCUUUUCCACAGAAGUGGAACCUCAAACGAAAGACUGUGGCAACGAACUUGCCGGAGAACAUUUUCGGGAAAAGUCUAACAGGGAAAAGGAACAGAGCGCUUUCUUGGGACUUGGGAAGGAUUAGCGGCUUUUGCAGUUCUUUAAACGGACGGAAGACAGGGAAUGUCACAGAAGUUCCACUGUUCUAAUCCACACCUUUUCCACCAUCGUACUCGUACAGCCAAGAAGUCAAAGAACUACAACAGCAUUUAGUUGAUGAUGGGACUUGAAGAGCUUGUGGAUUUCUUGCUGACGCACCGGCAUCAUCUCCAUCAUCAUCACCAUGAUCUCUGACGAAGAGGCACAUCAAUCAAAUGCCUCAUUGUACAUUGUUUUUACACAUUUCGACUACAAGGGCCGUCACUUGAACUUGACAUUUGGUGUAAGUGACUAUUAGGGGAAGUGCCAUGAGAAGGUUCUUCUUCUCGUUCCGAGUCCAGCCCAGAGUCAGAGUCAGAGUCAGUGUCGGAGUCAGAGCCAAGCCUUUGGCAAUUAGCCGUGAAUAUCAAUCAGCGCACCAUUUGAGUGGAAAAACCGCUCAGCUUUUAAUUACACAAAAAGCUCUUUGUGCUGUGCUGUGUGUGGGACUGAGAGUGGCUCGAAGGCCUCCCAUGUCCCCGCCCACGGUCACCACAACGCCUCUGCAACACACACCCGACUCAAUCUUGGAUGUCGAUGGCGAUGUGGCUCUGGCUGUCGAUGUUUGUUACCAAGUCGCUUGUUAGAAUCUCACUUUUUCUCUCUUUCUCAUACAUAUAUGCAAAGCGGGCUUGUUGUUGGUCUCGGUCUUAGCCCCGGCUUGCGGGUAAUAAGCCAAUUGGCGUUGGCCACACUGCUCGUACAUUUUAAUCAAGCCAACAGAGUUGUAAAGCCCACGCACCAUCCAAGCCAAAUAUGUUCCGAGGUGUCGCCAAAGCUGUGAGAUGGCGGCAGCUGUCGACCUUCGCGGCGUUGACUCAUGGCCUGUCCCUGUCCAUAACCGACCAACUAGCUAGAACCGGAGCUGAUGAAAUUGAGGAGGCUUUUUGGGAAUACUUGGGGCGGAAAACCCGAAAGGCAAUGACCAAAGAUCAUGCAGUGCUAAAACAAGAAUUUCUUGGCCAGAAUUUGGUUAAAAGUUUUGCUGAAUCUUCUAGGUUUCUGGUCGUCUUGAAUUGUCAUAAUAUUCUCCACGCUUCUUGAAUGCUUCUUGCUAAUACUUUUUUCAGGCGCCAUUCAGGCGAUAGUUCCUUCCAUUUUGAGGAAGCCAGAAGUGACUGUCAAGCUUAAUUAACAGAAGCGCCUAGUCCGACAACGUCUCGUACUUCUAUGGCUACUGUUGACUAUAUCACUUACUGCGGUGGCUGGCUGAGGCCUGAGGGGUGUCUGGCCACUGGCCACUGGCCACUGGGCACCGGCCACCGGUUGCCGGUUGCUGGUUGCCAAUUCGAUUAGGCCACGCAAAUGUAAUUUAAUAAAUGCGGUUGCCCAUGUUGAUUAGCAUGUGCGGUUUUAGCAAUUUACGAGUAGUGGCACGCAUCCGCGCAUCCACAGGAUAUGAGCUGGCACUACGACAAUGACAGGAUGCGUCAGUGCUCUCUGAAGUCAAGGCGAACUCCAAGCUGAACUCCGCACCGAACUCUCCACCGCUGGUCUGGAGACAGGGGAAAUGUUUAUGGUUAUGUGCUCGCCUGCGGUGGCAGCUUCAAACGCUUGGUGAUUGAAUUUUAAAUUGUGGCUGUACGUGCAGCAGGCUCCCCAUGCUCUCUGCUGUGGCAAGAUUAAUUUAAAUGAAGUUAUUAGCCAGCCCGAUUGUGCAUUGACAGGGCGCAAACAAAAGACCUAGGCUCCAGCUUCAGCUUCAGCGCCAGCGCCAGCCCCUGCUCCAGGUCCAACUCCUACUCCGACUGCAGCUUAAGGUGCCCUGAUAUGGGGAUAUGGGAUAUACAAUAUGCAUGUCUACAACGGGUUUUCGUCUGGCACAUUGUUGUACGAGUGCCCGCAGUAGUAGUUGUUGCUCUGCAUUUGAAAGUUAAAUUACGGUAGCGAUAUCGGAGCAGACAUUCCGUUAAUUGGCCGCACAACAGGCGGAGAUCUGGCUGCGGCUAGUAGCUGUCGUUGCUCUUCAGGAAGAGAUGUUGGUGUUCUGGAUACUCUUUUUUUUUUUACAGGAAUUAAAGAAUUUUUGGUAUUUCCCAGAAGUUUUGCUACCAGAGAUCUCUAGAGCGAGGGGCUAUGGGAGCAACAUUUUAGAAUCAAGCCUUAAGAUAUUCGGGGGAUUAUUUUCUUAUGCGAUGUAUGGGAUGUUGCAAGAGGGAUGAAGAAGAGUAGGGACUAUCUCUAACAAUUUUUGUAGAUUUUAGAACAUUUUUAGCAGUCGUUUUUGCAUAUGUUUUUUCAAAUACUAAAGACACUUUCCACGGAAGCUUGAAGUGGAUUUUAAUCCCUCCUUUUUGUGUUGAUUAUUCCGAUUAUUCGCACAUAUAGAAUCAAAGUUUUGGGUCAGAAAAAAUAUGCUCGAAACCGAGAAGUUUAUACGAACAAAUAGAACUGUGUUAUAGAUUGAAACUGUAUUCCAUUUAGCUACUUUUUUGUGUAUCUUUUGGUAAGUGCAACCAAUCUUCGCUGUGCCCCAGCAGCAUUACCUUCUGUGUCUGUUUUUUUGUUUUUCUUAUUUUGGCUAAGUCCGCUUUACAGUUGCUACGAAAAUUGUUGCAAAUUGCAGUUUAAAAAGUUUCCGUGUUGGCUGUUGCGCGGCACCAAUGUUGUUGGUGGCGGCAGCGGCAGCGCCAGAGUCUGCGACUCGACGGCGACUGCAACUAAUAUGAGUCAUAAAUUUAAAGGCUUAACUCGAGAUGGAGGCUGUGCCGUUGACAGGGAUUUUUUAAAUGAAAUAAAUAAACGGCAUUACAGCUAGUUAUAUGCAGCGAGAUCAGGGUCUUGUGCGGCAUAAACCACGGCAACAACUACAGCAACAGCGACGGCAACAGCGACAUCUGUGCGACAGAGUGUUGGUGGCGGCACUCGAAUGUUGAACUGAAUCUGAAUCGGAACUCACUCGUAACUGGGCUGGGCCAAAGUCGUCUGGUUACUUUUGCAUUUGGUUGCAUGCUGCCCCGUCUCUGCAUGAGACGAAGCCAUUUUAUUGAUACAGAUACUCGUAGAGGCCAAAAUUUGGGGUCCACUAAAACCAAAGAGCCGCUUGAUGUCUGCUGUUUUUUUUGGCAAUUCCUUUGCCACGGACCCGCAGCAUGACAUCAUUUUGAGUUACUCCGAAUCCGAAGCCGAAUCCCAAUUCAGGUCUUUUGUGGCUGCAGCAGCCCUACACAGCGAAAAAACUGGUCGCCGUUUUACUUUCGCUUUUGUGUUGAUCUUUUGCUGACUUCGUUUCGGUUUCUGUGCUGCUGCUUUUUUGGCAGAGAUGUUUCGAUGGUCUCCAUUUUUCUGUUUUUGGGUCAUCCCAAAGAAGUAUCCGCGUAUAUGGCAAUGAAAACGAAACCGAGUUCUGGUGAAAGUAGGCUGGAAAACGCAUAACAAGUGCAAGUCAAAGGAGGACCACAUGGUCGGUGCUGUGGCACGCUGAGCGAUUGUGUCAUGGUUGGAGCCCACGCAUCGCAUCGCCCACAAAGCCACCAAAAGCCUCCACAGACUAAUGAUGUUAGACGCUUCGAAGACAGACAACAGGCACAGGUUGGCACUGACUUAGGCCUUAGCUUUUGCUUUAGAUUUGGUUUUGGCUUUGGGUUUCGUCUUCAAGUGAUUUGCUCAUCUGGUUCGGUGCCCACACAGUUUGACUCUUUUUGGCUAUGCGGCAGUCAGAAGAGAUCAAUGCGAAAUGCCUUUUGUGCGAAAAUUAAUUAGAAUUUUGUGGCUUUGGAUAUUGGCUGCUCCGAUGCUUUGGCUGCUCUGAUGCUCUGGCUGGGAAAAGACCUUGAGUGGCAGCUCCAAUCGAACCAAAGUUGCGGUUCAAGAGACUGUGUGGGAUGCAGAAACUAGUUGGGGAUCAGAGCAGCCAAAUGAGUCAGUGUCUCGGCAAACGCUUGGGUCAUCGUAGAUCGUAAUGGCUCUGAUGGAAUGGAGAGAGAAGCCUCGCAACAUGACUUACGAAUUACACAAAAUCGCUUGUAUCAAUCUUCAACCCGGUUGAAAGUAGCCAAAUCUCUUUCCCACGAGUUUCACUUGGCUAUAAAACUUCAGUUUUAUUUGCAUUCAAUAAAGGUUUCAUCGACCAAUGCCGCUUGUUGGCCAAGUCUUUGUUUCCUACUGCAAUAAAUCGCGAAAAGUCUCGAUAAGUGUACCAAGAGUGCUGUAGACUGAAACAAGUUUCUUUCUCAAGUCUUUCGAUCUUGCAAUUAAAAUCUCUCCCUCUGAUAGAGAUCUCUGCAAAAUGUGAAAGAUGUGUCGCCUUAUGCCGGGGCUCUUCUGGGGUUUGGAAGGGGAGUCGCCAGCGAAGCAUUCACUGGGUUUUUUGGGUCCCUUGGCUCAUUUAAUUGUGGCAAUUUCUUUCGCCCACGCAGGGAGUGAGUCAAGCGCUUUGGCUCAUAAUUUAUAGGCAUUAUUAUUGUAAUUUCUCCCAGACGCCGCGGCAGAUCGCACGCAAAACAAUCAGACAUACACGUAAAGUGAAAGUUUUGCACCUUUUGCCGCACAGCAAACAGCUAACAAACGCAUCGGCACUACCAGCUUGAAGAAAACAAAAGUAGUCAGGCAGUCAGUCAGUCAGUCAGUCAGGCGGUUUGAAAAAUCAGUUAGCGAGUCAGUCAGUCAGUGCGAUCCCCCAAAGAUGAGCCACGAACUCCAACCAAAGUACUACCUACGACCAGACCAAAGACAAUGGCUUUCAAAUGACUGGCAGCCACUCGUGGCUUUGGCUCCAACCAAAACUGGCGCCGACUGACUGACAAAUGAGAGCUGCAGUAGUCGCCUUUUUCUGACCAAAAAAAAAAAAAUAAACCAAAACAAGACACAGCCAGAGCUCUCCUACUGGCAUCGGUACCAUCAAUAAGCCGUGAGCAAUUUUCGGCAAAAGCUGUGGGCAAAUAUUUCGACAAAUUUUCGCAUGCCAAACGUGCGUUUGCCUUGGCCACAAAAAUCACUCUCAAGAGUCAAACAAAUCCCCCAAAAAUCUAGACAAUCUCGUACAAGAAACACAACAAAAAAACUGGCUUCGAAGCAUUGGAUACCCUUAAAAAUAUAGAUCUAUAUUUAAUAAUUCGUAUGAAAACAGAUUAAAGUAAAGCUUCUUCAGAGUGGUAAGAUUAUCUUCAGAGAGAAAAAAACUUGUUCUCUCAAAGACUUGCUUCUCGACAGAUAGGAAUAGAUACAUAUUGAAGCUGAAGUUUCAGACAGAUGGCUGUAUGGACUGAAAUCAUAAUUAUAAUACCUCGCUAGUACCCUAGGUUUUUUCUGACCUCAGCUUUAGGGCCCAGCUUCAUUUUUGGUCACCUUCUGGGACACUUGUAGUGCCUUGACAAACUCUUUCUUUGGACAUUCGGGCAAAAGUGUGUCAAGCCAGCAUUUGAAGCAAUUAUUUGUCAUAUUUUCUAUUUGUGUUUGGGUUUCGUCUUCCACAAAUGAGAUGCAGAGAAAAUAAACAGCAUUAGUGGAGAGCUCAUGACCAAAAAUCCCAGUGACAAGGCGUCUUCGGGCCCGUUUUCAUCUGCGUAUUCAUCUUCUCCAAACUCUCGACUCAUCAAAUCCCACCAUGACUUUGGCUUGGGAUUUUGCACAAAUGAAAGUGAACGUUUCUUUUUGUUGUUUCCACUUGUUGUUUUGUUUUGGUUUUAACACUGCACUGGGGUGGAAAAAACGGAAAUUUGUCAUGUA